AGAUGAUGCUCUUAACUUUAGAGCAGAGGAGCAUUAUGGGGCGUCCUUACUCCCAGUCUUUCCAGAUGUUCUUCCCACUCCUCAACUGCUCCUGGCUCAGAAACCCUGCACACCUGGAAGAAAGUGAGAACCAGUUUUUCAACAAACACAUUGCACAGACUUAUUGUGAACCCCGGGUGGAAUCAAGCAUCGGAGGAAGAGAACGUGGGUCUUGCUGUGUCCCUAGGCUGGAGUGCAGUGGUGCAGUCUCAAUUAUGCCAGAUGGCUCUGAGGUCCAAGUAAAAGAUAAUAUUUGCAACCAACUCACUGGAGUUGACCAUCAAAACUCUUUUCCAGGUGGAAAAGCACCCUGAAUCCAGCUUCCUGCUAUGAAUGAAUACUGAGCUUGGGUUGGUGGAAAUUGAUUUUCGAGAUAAAGAAUCCAGCCAGGACUGUGAAGCCCCAGGGAAUGGCUGCACUUCAAGUCAGAAGGAGCCUGGGUCCCUGAAUCAUCAUGUGGAAGGCUCUCCACCCAGUUCAAUGGUGCAAUGGACCACAAGCAGGAACUUAAUUUAGAAUGUGCUUAUUUUGUUAGAUUUUGUAAUUAAAAAAUGGAUCCCACUCUGACUGAAUCAGAGAUGUUGAAGUCAUUGAUCUGGGAGGGUAUGUUCCUGGGAGUGGGUGGCUGAGGUGAGAUUUCAAACAAGGUUGUUGAGGAAGAGGAGUUCAAGUGACUGAGAGGACAUAUUGUUGGAUAAAUUGUGCGUGCGUGUGUGUGUGUGUGUGUGUGUGUGUUGAAAUCACCAAGAAUAGGGAAAGAAGUGUAUAAGAGAGUGUGGCAGUGAGCCCAGAGCUAAAAGAAAUCAUGAGCAGGGAGUAAUUCACGAGCAGAAAGUAGAAGCAACGAGAGGCAGUUAAUGAGAGAAGCAGCUGAGGGAUUUUAGCAAGGGAUGGG
Molecule: long non-coding RNA, 934 nt
Filed under: Homo sapiens (human)
Lineage: Eukaryota; Metazoa; Chordata; Mammalia; Primates; Hominidae
Description: HSALNT0210887
Source: RNAcentral